Molecule: ribosomal RNA, 392 nt
Filed under: uncultured bacterium
Lineage: Bacteria
Description: bacterial SSU rRNA
Rfam family: Bacterial small subunit ribosomal RNA
Source: RNAcentral
AACACUACCUAGAGGUGGGGGAUUAACGUAGACGAAAGUUACGCUAAUACCGCAUACGCACUAAGGUGGAAAGUGGGGGAUUCGCAAGAACCUCAUGCUCAUGGAGUGGCCGAUAUCUGAUUAGCUAGUUGGUGAGGUAAAGGCUCACCAAGGCGACGAUCAGUAGCUGGUUUGAGAGAACGACCAGCCACACUGGAACUGAGACACGGUCCAGACUCCUACGGGAGGCAGCAGUGGGAAUUUUGGACAAUGGGGCAACCCUGAUCCAGCAAUGCCGCGUGAGUGAAGAAGGCCUUCGGGUUGUAAAGCUCUUUUGUCAGGGAAGAAACGGUGAGUUCUAAUAAAGCUUGCUAAUGACGGUACCUGAAGAAUAAGCACCGGCUAACUACGUG